AUGAACGCUGGCGGCGUGCCUAAUCCAUGCAAGUCGCGCGAACAGACGAGGAGCUUGCUCCUCUGACGUUAGCGGCGGACGGGUGAGUAACACGUGGAUAACCUACCUAUAAGACUGGGAUAACUUCGGGAAACCGGAGCUAAUACCGGAUAAUAUAUUGAACCGCAUGGUUCAAUAGUGAAAGACGGAUUUGCUGUCACUUAUAGAUGGAUCCGCGCCGCAUUAGCUAGUUGGUAAGGUAACGGCUUACCAAGGCGACGAUGCGUAGCCGACCUGAGAGGGUGAUCGGCCACACUGGAACUGAGACACGGUCCAGACUCCUACGGGAGGCAGCAGUAGGGAAUCUUCCGCAAUGGGCGAAAGCCUGACGGAGCAACGCCGCGUGAGUGAUGAAGGUCUUCGGAUCGUAAAACUCUGUUAUUAGGGAAGAACAAAUGUGUAAGUAACUAUGCACGUCUUGACGGUACCUAAUCAGAAAGCCACGGCUAACUACGUG
This 496-nucleotide ribosomal RNA is filed under the name uncultured bacterium. Its description in RNAcentral is "partial 16S ribosomal RNA". It matches the Rfam family "Bacterial small subunit ribosomal RNA", at positions 29 to 507 of the family's 1533-position model. The record is from RNAcentral.